UCUGGGCAUGGUGGCACAGGCCUGUAAUCCCAGUGGCUUGGGAGGCUGAGGCAGGAGGACUGCGAGUUCAAAGCUAGCCUUAGCAGCAAACUUAGUAAGGCUCUAAGCAACUUGGCAAGACCCUGUCUCUA
RNAcentral lists this small RNA (131 nucleotides) under Marmota monax (woodchuck). Lineage: Eukaryota; Metazoa; Chordata; Mammalia; Rodentia; Sciuridae. The record is from RNAcentral.